Molecule: unclassified non-coding RNA, 205 nt
Filed under: uncultured fungus
Lineage: Eukaryota; Fungi
Description: sequence contains ITS1
Source: RNAcentral
UAAGUGGGAGGAGUUGGGUGUGUGUGGGUGGGGUUGGUUGGGUGGGGUUGUUGGGUGGCGAUGGUGUCCGCGAGGGCGCUGUCUGCGACUCGACUCUCGACUCCUGAUUCCCAAAAAGCACACACCCGCACCCAAAUGCGCCGGAUCCCGAGAGGGAGAAGGACACAUGAGCGUGAAGAGUGACUUAGGCGUUUAGCAAUAAAUA